This is a long non-coding RNA of Pangasianodon hypophthalmus (striped catfish), 2008 nucleotides long. RefSeq lists it as uncharacterized. NCBI's taxonomy places the organism in Eukaryota, Metazoa, Chordata, Actinopteri, Siluriformes, Pangasiidae. The record is from RefSeq and is a predicted model, not a curated record. The transcript is spliced from 4 exons.
UACUGUCUGUGCGGCGUUCGCAUGUUUUUCCGGGGUGCUUUUCAAUACUCAGAUUUAUGCUUCCUUGUUUCCUUGCUCCUCCGUUCUCCAGCCCGUGACCCGGAAAUAGAUCGAAGUCAGAUAUAUUGAAGGACAUAUCAGUUCUCUUAUUGCAAAGGCAGAGAACGAGGAGUGAGGAAACUGACGCACGUAUAAUUUAUCCUCCUUCUUUACAUCUGCCACAGUCUGAAACAAUGGCGGGAACUCUAACCACUCAUAAAUGAACUGAUGAGGAGACCCAUAAUCUAAUCAAAAUACGGAGGGAAAAUGUUGCAGGGUUUACGGGGAAGAGGCACAGUGCCAAAAAAUCCUGAGUUGAUGUACUUGAGAAGAUGGGUCUGAACAGAAUUGUGACAUGAAGUCAGAUUGCUAAGAAAUGGGACAAUCUGAAAAGGAAAUAUAAGGAGCUCCACUGUCCUCCUACAGGAACAGAGACAGUGGGGAGGUCACAGCAACCAUGUGGCCAUGGUUUUCUGCCAUGCAUGAGGCUAUUGGGGGAGGCCCUCUAUUGAGACUCCUGUCCUGAUAGACGCAUGUGAUGCAGAAGUCACAGCAUAUGCAGCUGUGGCCUCAGACACGGGCUCAGCACCCCUUGCAGCUGUUAGCCAGGCAAGCGUGGAGGAAGAGGAGGAGAGCUCUUCACCAUCUAGCACAAACAGCCUCAGGCAGGAGGAUGAGCCAACCACUUUGUCUUGUCUCCCACCUCCUAAAAGGAGGAGAAGCAUCAGGGUGUUGAAUUUUCUGGAGAGUGAGGCAGAAAAAGAGGAGGAGCUAUUUCAUGCCAUGCAUGAACUAAUGACCACUACCACCAACAGAUUCCUUGACCUCUUUGAACAAUUAAUUACAAAGAGUUAAACAUGAUCAUGGAGUGUCCUUUUCGUUAUGAAAUAACAAAAAGUGUGACCUAAUAUUCCUUAUUAGAUGUUUUUAUGCCAAUCACACUUGCCAGAUGUGUACAAUUCAGGACAGUGAAUAAGAUGGUAUAUUUAUUAUCAAAAUGGUUAAUCCUCUCUCCCAAAUGGAUGCCCAUGGAUAUGUAUUGGUUUGAAUUUGCGUGUUAUCAAUAUAGCAAACAUUUACAGAUCCAGUCAUAUACAGUACAUAAAAUAUUUAGCAGUUGUAAAAGCCUACCAUACUGUGCCAAAAAACAGGUUAACAAGCCACACUAGAACCAUUUUUACACUGAUCAACAGUGUGAAAUUAGAACCUUUUCAGUUCUCAAAACACAAUGUAGAUGUAUCCAUAUGUAUUUUAAUGUAGUGCAAACAUAGUCUGCAUUGAACCUGAUACGUGACUACAAGAAUUCAGCAACAAUCGCCUAUCAGAAUGAACAUAUUUAUGCAUUGAUAAUGUGGGUACAGCGGGUCCCUGGAGGACUAGUGGUUAGACCACAGCGCUUUCACCGCUGCAGGACCAGGUUUAAUUCCAGCCAGGGAACCAACUCCAUGCAGCAGUGCCGGUCCAUCACGCUAUAUGACAGGCCAUGUGCUAGCCAGUACACGGUUAUCAGUAUUGUUAUGUGGUGUCCCCAGCCAUGUGUUUCAUCAUGUGGCAACAUCCUCAUUAAGGCAUCCAUUGUAACAUGGCUCAGUUCGAAGUCCACCAUGAGGUCCUGCUCACUAUCAGAGUAUAAUUUUAGCACUAGAACAGUAGCAUUAAUUUCUGCAUAGAUUGGAGCAGGUGUAUUUUCAGCCUGAAAUGAAAAAUACCUUGUAAAUGUAUUUAUUAUGAGUAAGUUUUAGCACAUAGCACUGAAACAUUAAACAUUCUACCCUGGUGUUACAGAACACCUUUAAUGAAUGUUCAGUUUGGUUAGCCUUGCUUUGUUGUGUAUCAUUUUUUAGUCCAGGUCAAUUUUGAAAAAAGAAACAUACAUGUACCAACAGUAAUAGUAACAUUAAUCAUUAAAAUAUUUGAUUGAAAAACAUGAUCAUAAGAAGGCAGAAUAUUGUUUUUUUUUUUUUUUUUG